UCGGCUUCUUCAUCACACUUCGUCUGUCUUUGGCUCGUUCCAGGUCUGAGAUCGUUCUCCUAGGCGGGAUAAAAACAGAAGUGAUGAGUAAAAGCAAAGGUUAAAUCACUGCUUUAAUGAUUAAAACAUUUCCUUCUAAAGUCAGUCCUCUAAGUGUCCAGUACCCUAGCCUCUGCCUGACUUUCCCUACCGUGUCUGCCCAAUUUGUUUUCCCCUCCCUAUCAAACCUGAUCCCAAGAAUUUUUUGGUCGGUAACGUUUUUUUGUUUUUAUACAUUUUUCUCUUAAUUUCAAACGUGGAUCAAACUACUUUUUGUUGCAGUAUUAUUUAGUUUGUCAUUUUAACUCCUUGCUGGGCUGUUACUAAUUUGGAGUUAAAUACAUAAAACCGGUGACUUUUGAUUUGAGGAUACAGCAUUGCAUUAUGGGAAAUAUAAAUGUGUUAUUUUUCAAGUGAAGUGGAAAUUUUCUUUAUCCUUAGUGCAAACAUGUUUUUUCUGUAUUUAAAUCCUGUAAACUUCGAUGUAUUUUUAUAGUCUCUGAUUUUGGUAAUUUCUCUCCCCUGAUAACAUGUGCAAUAUUAAUGCUGAUGGAUGUAUGUCUGUCGUCAUGCAUUUAAAAAUCUGUAAAUGCAUUUAAGGCACGAAAAUAUCGGUAAGAUAUUGAUUUUUGUUUCAAGAAGGUACUGCUGCUGGAAUGAAGAAUCGGCAGAAACACUCCUUCAUGCACUGAGGGUGCAGCAGUCUGCUGCUGAAGGAGCUGCUCAGUAUCAAUAACACAAACAUGAAUCGACAGUCUAAAUAAAUGUUAAAUAGUAGUCAAUAAAAAGCGCAAAUAGUGGUUUAGUUAGUGAUGUAGGUCUGUAAUGGCACAAUACACAUGAAUAGACAGUUUUUAUAAAUGCUAAAACUGUCAAUGAGGGCAACAGUGCAGAGAACCAAUGGUGCCACGUUAAAGGGCACUUGUAAGACCAGAACACACAGAACAACUCAGCACGUAGAACAUUAACACAUAUAUACACCAUUUACAAUAUAUACUAUUUACAACGGGCCAGACUGGUCCUUCUCAAUCCCUCCACAACGGAAGACAAAAUGUUCAAAGUUUUUAAAUUCUGUUCUCCAGUCCCUUGGAGGGUGAAAGGUUGAUCGCAGGGGAAUAUGUCUUAUUUUUUGUGUCCCUGGAUUUUGUGCCCGCACGCCUUGCAGGUCGGGAGAUGCUGCACUCUUUAGCUUAACGCCCAGUCCUGUGGGGUGGUCUGCCAGCUUCGUCUUGUAGUGUGUGGAUCAAGACCACGACGAUUGUAUCACAAGGUUCUGCCCAGGGACCGGCUAAACAGCUGGUCUGACACAGAGUUAGUCUUGGAGAUGACUGCUGGCUGCCUGGUGGUGUGCAGGUUCACCAGCCUCGCUUGCUGGCGGAUGAAGUCCCUCACUGUUUUUGUAUUUAUUUUUGGAAGAGGAAUGAAUGCCUUGCACAGGACUGGGUCAUCCACCAAGACUCGGUGCUGGAUCCUGUCGUAGGCAUUGAGGAUGCUGGUUUUCUCGGGGCUGGAGCGAGAGGGCUUAGGGGCGCGCAGCCACAGAAGCUUGACAAGCACAUACAUGAGGGGGUUGUGCUGCAUGCUGAUGUCCUGCUGUGCUGGCGCGUACCUUUUGGCCAUCUUCACUCUCUGGAUCAGGGCGGCGUCUGCAAGGUCAUCCCUCUUUGUUCGGCAGUACAAUGUGUUGCCCCAGUGUGUGCGGUACAGCUGGUGGUAUUUCUGUGGCUGCUUGUCGUGCUCCUCCACCACAUUCCAGGAUUCAAGGACCCUGUUCCUUUGCUCUGUGUUGAGGAGCAGCUUCAGGUCUGUCAAGCCGACCUCCACCAGCGCAGCACAGAAUGCCUCCAGCUUCUUAAACCCAGGCAGAGGAUUGUCACUGCAGACAUCCUCCUGUAAAACACACACACACACACACACACACACACACACACACACACACACACACACACACACACACACACACACACACACACACACACACACACACACACACACACACACACACACACACACACACACACACACACACACAGAGAGAAAAGUAGGUAAGUUCCAGUGCAUACAAUAUCUUGUUUUUUAGUGGUCACAUGUAUCACUGUAUAUUCUAUCAGACAAGUAGGUACUCUACUCACAAAUGCAGGAGGGUUGACUGUAGUGGUCUCACUGCUAGUUAGUGUUAUGUGGGGCUCAACAGCAGAUGGUCCUCGUCGCGCUGGUACUCCUUGUCUGCUUUGGCGUCUGGGUCGACCUGCCCAGGCUGAAUGACCUCAUCCUCUGGCCCGGGACCGUCGUUGACGAUGCCCUUAAGAGAGGACUCUCCCGUUCUCUGGCUGAAAAGAUAUUCGAGUCCAAGCAGCUCGUCUGACUGGACAUUGGCCGGGGCCCUGAAGUUUUCUUCCACAGUCUCACCAAAACCGCUGCUGGCAGUGGAUGUUGAGGAGCGGCCUCUGUCCUUAAACACGGCGUCCGAGCUGCGGUUGGAGUUCCACCUGGCGAGUCCACUGAGGUAGACCUCCUAAGGCUGUGCUGCACAGUGGGGACCUGAACAUCACAACAACAGAUUUUUGACAGAUUUACCUGGAGCAAUAUGGGGCAGCGACUUGUGGAACCUCUCCAGGCUGUUGCUCCCACACAGGCCCUUGUAAUAAGACGCUGACACCACUCUCGUUGAGCCCUGCUGGACCCUUGAGCUCUUCAGCGACCAGAUGGACAAGACAAAAUGUUUCCUGGACACCAAGGGUGAGACGCCGGACAUGAUGUUGCAGCUGGUCUCGGGAGAUGUAACGCCGGACCUCAUCCGUCGCCACCCCCAUUGUGGUCGGGUGUCUGGCCCUCACAGCCGUGAUGAGUAGCUGAAGGUCCUUGCGGUUAUAGGCCAGCGCAGACUUGAAGGCGGCGUACGUUGAGUGGGCCUCGGUCCGCAGAGCAGCAUCAAAGCGAUGGAUCCAGUGAAAAAUGUCCAGCCUAACCACCAUCCCGUUGUCCACCCGAGGCUGGAAGAGCAUCUCCAUAGCCGUCGGACCCUGUGCCUUGCAGCACCCCUAAUCGAUGUAGAGGAUCUUGGGUACGGGUUGAUUGGUGAGCCGUAACUGCUCCACCACGCCACAUGGGCCCAACUAUCUCCACAGACUCCUUGCAGGUGAAGACAAAGGACACAAUCUGGUAGUCCUGAACGUUUUCUGCCUCUCAGGAAGAGGUGCCGCCUGGAACUCCCCGUGGCCCAGUGCAGAGACAAUAAUAAUAAU
This is a long non-coding RNA of Etheostoma spectabile (orangethroat darter), 3284 nucleotides long. RefSeq lists it as uncharacterized. The transcript is spliced from 3 exons. NCBI's taxonomy places the organism in Eukaryota, Metazoa, Chordata, Actinopteri, Perciformes, Percidae. The record is from RefSeq and is a predicted model, not a curated record.